Molecule: ribosomal RNA, 414 nt
Filed under: uncultured bacterium
Lineage: Bacteria
Description: bacterial SSU rRNA
Rfam family: Bacterial small subunit ribosomal RNA
Source: RNAcentral
AUUAAACGCUGGCGGCACGCCUUACACAUGCAAGUCGAACGGUAGCGCGGGGCAACCUGGCGACGAGUGGCGAACGGGUGAGUAAAGCAUCGGAACGUGCCCUGGAAUGGGGGAUAACGUAGCGAAAGUUACGCUAAUACCGCAUAUUCUGUGAGCAGGAAAGCAGGGGAUCGCAAGACCUUGCGUUCUGGGAGCGGCCGAUGUCGGAUUAGCUAGUUGGUGGGGUAAAAGCCUACCAAGGCGACGAUCCGUAGCGGGUCUGAGAGGAUGAUCCGCCACACUGGGACUGAGACACGGCCCAGACUCCUACGGGAGGCAGCAGUGGGGAAUUUUGGACAAUGGGCGGAAGCCUGAUCCAGCCAUGCCGCGUGAGUGAAGAAGGCCUUCGGGUUGUAAAGCUCUUCGUGGGAGAAU